Molecule: ribosomal RNA, 506 nt
Filed under: uncultured bacterium
Lineage: Bacteria
Description: partial 16S ribosomal RNA
Rfam family: Bacterial small subunit ribosomal RNA
Source: RNAcentral
GAUGAACGCUGGCUACAGGCUUAACACAUGCAAGUCGAGGGGUAACGAGAGGAAAGCUUGCUUUCCUUGUCGACGACCGGCGCACGGGUGAGUAACGCGUAUCCAACCUGCCCCCAACUAGGGAAUAACCUUGCGAAAGUAAGACUAAUACCCUAUAAUUUCCUCAGAUGACAUCUGACGAGGAAUAAAGAUUUAUCGGUUGUGGAUGGGGAUGCGUCUGAUUAGCUUGUUGGCGGGGUAACGGCCCACCAAGGCAACGAUCAGUAGGGGUUCUGAGAGGAAGGUCCCCCACAUUGGAACGGGGACACGGUCCAAACUCCUACGGGAGGCAGCAGUGUGGAAUAUUGGUCAAUGGGCGGAAGCCUGAACCAGCCAAGUAGCAUGCAGGAUGACGGCCCUAUGGGUUGUAAACUGCUUUUAUACAGGAAUAAAGUUAGCCACGUGUGGUUAUUUGUAGGUACUGUAUGAAUAAGGACCGGCUAAUUCCGUGCCAGCAGCCGCCGUAA